Molecule: ribosomal RNA, 795 nt
Filed under: uncultured bacterium
Lineage: Bacteria
Description: bacterial SSU rRNA
Rfam family: Bacterial small subunit ribosomal RNA
Source: RNAcentral
AGUUUGAUCAUGGCUCAGAUUGAACGCUGGCGGCAGGCCUAACACAUGCAAGUCGAGCGGUAGCACAAGAGAGCUUGCUCUCUGGGUGACGAGCGGCGGACGGGUGAGUAAUGUCUGGGGAACUGCCUGAUGGAGGGGGAUAACUACUGGAAACGGUAGCUAAUACCGCAUAACGUCUUCGGACCAAAGUGGGGGACCUUCAGGCCUCACGCCAUCAGAUGUGCCCAGAUGGGAUUAGCUAGUAGGUGGGGUAAUGGCUCACCUAGGCGACGAUCCCUAGCUGGUCUGAGAGGAUGACCAGCCACACUGGAACUGAGACACGGUCCAGACUCCUACGGGAGGCAGCAGUGGGGAAUAUUGCACAAUGGGCGCAAGCCUGAUGCAGCCAUGCCGCGUGUGUGAAGAAGGCCUUCGGGUUGUAAAGCACUUUCAGCGAGGAGGAAGGGUAGUGUGUUAAUAGCACAUUGCAUUGACGUUACUCGCAGAAGAAGCACCGGCUAACUCCGUGCCAGCAGCCGCGGUAAUACGGAGGGUGCAAGCGUUAAUCGGAAUUACUGGGCGUAAAGCGCACGCAGGCGGUUUGUUAAGUCAGAUGUGAAAUCCCCGCGCUUAACGUGGGAACUGCAUUUGAAACUGGCAAGCUAGAGUCUUGUAGAGGGGGGUAGAAUUCCAGGUGUAGCGGUGAAAUGCGUAGAGAUCUGGAGGAAUACCGGUGGCGAAGGCGGCCCCCUGGACAAAGACUGACGCUCAGGUGCGAAAGCGUGGGGAGCAAACAGGAUUAGAUACCCCGGUAGU